This is a long non-coding RNA of Onthophagus taurus, 709 nucleotides long. RefSeq lists it as uncharacterized. The record is from RefSeq and is a predicted model, not a curated record. NCBI's taxonomy places the organism in Eukaryota, Metazoa, Arthropoda, Insecta, Coleoptera, Scarabaeidae.
GAUAUAGGUUAUGUUAUUGUCAUCCAAUUUGUGUUGUAAACAUAUUUUGAUCCAAUAAUUCAAUUUAAUUGAACGAAAUCAGUUCUUUUCUGAACAUAAUAUAGAUACUGAUGAUAAUAGUGACUCAGAACAAGUUGAAAAAUAACCUAAAUUAGAUGGUGGACUCUUAACUUUAUUGGAAAAGUAAAUAAGUACAUCAUUAAUGGCGAAAAUGAUUGAUAUUAUUAAUAAAAUUGUUGAGGAAUUGCAAAAUCAACAGUUAACCAUGCGUUUAAAGAAUAUAACGAUACUAGAAAGGGGUUACUCCUGAGUUUGAUGAAUUUAUCAAGGUCUUGAUUGUCAUGAACAAAAUUUAGAUUUAAAUAAGCUACUACCUUUCAGCAUAGUUAUGAAGAGAAAAUCUAUAAAUUUAAGGCAAACCGGACAAGAUAAAUUGUUUAGAGAUCAUAAUGUUUAAAAAAUGUUAAAAGUUAAAGGGUUGUAUUUCAAUCUGACGUUUAUUUUUUGGGAUAAAACCAUGAAACAAUUAUUAUACAUGGUGAAUUGAUGGUUGGAGGAAAUUAAUGGAUAAAAUUAUUUACAAACUACGAUUAAUUUAUGUAUUAAGAAUUAAUAAAAAUAAAUUAAAGUGUUACCGCCAUCUAUUAUCGCAACUUUGAAUCAUAAGAAACGUCAAAAUGAGAUCUGUCAAAGAAAUUAUAUAUAAAUA